This is a long non-coding RNA of Gossypium raimondii (Peruvian cotton), 1841 nucleotides long. RefSeq lists it as uncharacterized. Lineage: Eukaryota; Viridiplantae; Streptophyta; Magnoliopsida; Malvales; Malvaceae. The transcript is spliced from 2 exons. The record is from RefSeq and is a predicted model, not a curated record.
AACCCAUCUUUUUUUAAAAAAAUUCAGAGAGCUUUCAGAUUCGCUCUCUCACAGCCCUCCAAUCCGGCCAAUAGGGCCGUCGCCUACGCCACCAUAGAUCCACCACGGGCGGUGGCGUGCGACCCGAAGGUCAAUUUUAACCCGAUUUAAAAGGCCGUUUGGUGACGGUGCCUUUCUUGGCCCAAAGACCGAAGGAAAAGGAGACCCUCGUGCCCUCCCUCGGCACGAUUUCGGCGGCCGCAAAGGGCUCCAGCGAUGGGACUUGCGGGCGACUCCAGGUGACAGAGCAGUGUCAGACGCAUGGAGGAGGUGGCGUGCGGCAGACUGGUGAGACCGACGAUUGGCGAGCUGAGCGACGGUGGCGCUGAAGGCCGACCAGGGGGCGUGCAGUGCUAAGAGGCUUGGCUGGGGCUAGGGUUUCUGCUGCUAGUUUAGGUUACGGGCUAAUUAUUUGGGCUUAGGGUUUUUACUAUUGGGUUGUUCUGAUUAGGUCUAUUUUUGGAUUUGUAAUGGACUUGGUUUAUUUUGUGUUUGGGUUUGAUUUGGUGGGCCGAGCAAAAUGGGUUCGUACAGAGGACAGAGAAGAUGGCCAAUAGAUAGACAAGGUCGGUGUUCCAAUUAGGGAUUGGUGAUGCAUAAGAAACUGGAGUUUGAGGAUGUUUCUGUAUCAGCAUAGAGCAUGUGCUUUUGUCAUGAUCCGUAAGCAAAGCUACCAGAAGUACUAGAUCGAGAUCGGAACGAUGCGAGCACGAGAAAACCUAGUCACAAAAUUAUCGAAGUGUCCCAAAAGACUUUAGAAAUUCGAAGAAGCGAUAGAUCCUUACAGAGCCGAGUAGAAGAUUCCAGAAGCUCUAAAACUCUCCAUUCAUGUAUAGCCUAUAUAAGUAGAAGCUCUCCUCUCUAUUUGUACAUCCAAACUAGUCGUUGGGUAAUAUAUCUAAGUUCUCAUGCUUGUCUAGGCUAAGAAGGCAUUCUCCAACUUCUCUUGUGUUCGGCCCGUGACAAAUGAUAUCAGCGCUUUGAAUUUGUCCUGUGGUGGUGAACGAUGGCAACCGAGUUCAAGAAGGUGAGUGAGCAAGAGGAUGGCGUGGUGGAGAACCAAGGUGUUGUGAAGGGCAAGAAAGGAGGCUCUAAGGACUCUGUGAAGAUAAUUGAGACCCGGAUGGCCGAGGUUGAGUCCGCCAUGAGUGAUGUCCAAAGCUAGAAGAAACCAAGGAUUCUCUUGAGGCGAUCAAAUCCGACAUGAUGGAGUCCUAAGACAAACUCAAAGAACAACUUAGAGAAGAGCUACAAUAGGCCAUGAAGGAGGCCUUAGGUGAUAUUGCCGAAAGUACAAGGCCCUCGAGGUGUAGGUGGAAGUAAUGGAUGGCGAGAUCAAGAGGCUCAAGAGUGGUGGCAUGCUAAUGGUAUCAAGCUAUCGAGUAGAUGUUCCGAGGUCAAAGGAGUUCAAAGGCACGAGGGAUGCCAAAGGGGUGGACAACUUCUUUUGGAGUGUCGAGUAAUACUUUUGUGCUGGGAUCGAGGAGGAUUCCGUUAAGGUAAACACCGCUUUGAUGUACUUAGUUGAUGUUGUCUUGCUUUGGUGGUGUCUUAGGAGUGACGAUGCAAUGUGUGAAAGUGCAACCGUGGAAACUUGGGAGAUUAGGCUGCAAUUCUAUCCGAAAAUGCGAACAAGAAGCCUCGAUUGAAACUUAGGCAGCUUACCCAGCGCAAAACAAUGCGCGACUAUGUGCGUUAGUUUUUGGAGUUAAUGCUUCAAAUUUCAAAAUAGACAAAAGUGAGGCUCUAUUUAACUUCCUAAAUGGGCUAAGCAAUGAGCAAAAGUAGAGUUUCAGCAUAAA